GUUUGAGUGUUUUAGAAACUAUGUUAGGAUCAAAACAUUUGUCAUACAGUUGUGUGGAUAAUUACAGGUAAGUAAAAAAAUAAGUGUCUUUUAUUCGUUAAAGUUUCUUGCGUUUUCCGAAAGUAAAGUAAAACAGAAAAGAUUAGCAUUCAGGUCAAAUUUGUAUCAGAUAAAGUACAAAUGAAUACCAACCAUAUCACAUAGUAAACAUUUAAAGCUGAAAUGUUAAAUCCACCAUUCCUUGUUCUUUCACCUGAAUGAAUGCUAUUUCAGCAAUUCAACAGAUGAAAAAACAUACCCGCACUGCGGUGUCAUUCCGUUCCGUAAUGCACACUUGGCAUCUUCUGGAGAAAUGCAAUAUGGAAGCAUGCACACCUGGCACUUACUCUAGUACUGAAUGCAAGCAUGUGCUGUGUAUAUGGGACUGUAAGAGUUAACUAGUUUACUUUGGCCAACUAUAGGAAUCGUUUUCCUCAUAAACUAGACAGAUAAAAGGAGAGGGUGGGAAUACGAAGAAAGGGAAAAUAGCCAGAGAAGCAAUGAAAAGAUAAAAGAAGGGAGGAGACGAUAAAAGAAGAGGGAAGAAUAAAAAUGGGAAUUAGGUUACUUGCAAUUGUCACUCGAUAGGUAAACUGUGAAAAAGUAUGGAGUUUGGUCCACUCAUACCCACUUGUGCUCUCAGACAUGGAUUCCAGACCUCAUAGAACUGAUGCCCGUAAUUAAGGCCACAAUUUUCUCAAUAGGAACACAAGGUAGAGGAUUGCACAUGCUUUAAAGGAACACUAGAGGGUCAGGAACACAAACAUGUUUUCCUGACUCUAUAGUGUUAAAGCACUUGCCCUCCCUAAACAUAGUAUAAUCUUACUUCAUUCCAGACUUUACUACAGUCUGCUGCUGGCUCUGCCCCUGAUCUGCCUGCUUGACUGACAUAAUCAGAAGUGGUGGUCUGAGCCAAUCAUAAUGCUUCCCCAUAGGAUUAGCUGAGAGUGUCAAGGAGGCAGAUCAGGGGCAGAGCCAGCACAAGCCAAACACAGCCCUGGCCAAUCAGCAUCUCCUCAUAGAGAUGUAUUGAGGAGGUCAGUGUUUGAAUGCAGAGGGUGGAGACAUAUCUCAUAGGCAAUAGUGUCUGACUGUCAAGGAAAGUAAUGGCUAAAUUAUAAAAGCCAAACCUGUCAGAAAAAAAAAGGGAGGAAAACUCGAUACAAAUUAACCAAGUGAAAAUACUUCAUAUGCCUUUUUUUGGUGUCUGGAGUUUCCCGUUAAUGAUACCAAAACAAAUACAUUAAAAUUGUAUUGUUGCCUGAAGUGUACCUUUUAAUAUGCUUUAUUUUUUUGCAUGUUCAAAUCAUACAUUUGAUAAGAAAGUCUUUCUGGCAUGAGAGGGCAGGCUGAGUGGAGCAUUCGGCAAAACAUUUAUUUUUGUAUGCAAAAACUAUAAAAAUUUGUACAUGCAAAAAUUUUUUUAUUUUAUUUUAAAUACAGCAUAUUAAUGAUCUAUAAUAUCUAUAAAAGACAUUCAAGUUGUGUUGGUGCCCGUAGUGUCCCUUUACGAGUUUCUGUAACUGUAUGUUCUUACAUAAUAAAGAAAUUACUUAAAGGGUUACUUCAAGCACCAUGGCCACGUAAGUGAUUUGAAUCCUCCAGUACACCGUUUUCCAGCCUCCAUUUAUCCUUGCUUGCGUUCUCCUAAUUCAGGUUCACUCCCUUUUUAUGCCUAUAUUUGCUCUGCUUGUCAAUUUUAAUUCCUUCUUUCUCAUGUCUCAUUUUUAAUUUAUUCUUGUGAAUAAUAUUAAACAAAACAACAAUCGUUCCCAGAAGUUGAAACUUUAAAGGAACAUUAAUUAUGCCACUUUAUAUAAUAACUGAAAAGUACAAUAAAAAUGCUUCACUAUGCCACAUUGAGGUUCAUCCCUAAGUUUCACAAAAAAAGGCCCACAACAUAGGGUGUCACUUAAAGAGUUGCUCUAAGCUCCAAAACAUGUUUAGCUUAAAGGGACUCUCCAGUGCUAGGAAAACAUAUCCGUUUUACCGGCAUGCAGGACACUGCAGUGACCCUCUCCCUCCCACCCCCCAUCCCACGCUAUAUCCAAGUAGCGGGAUGCCUGAGGGACCCAUUCAAGUUUCAAACCAUUUCAAAAUGGCUUGACUCCUUACCAUAGGAUGGUACCAGGGGACUUCUGGCACCAUAACCACUAAAGUGCACUGUUGUAGUUAAUGGGCUUUGAGUGUCUCUUUAAUCAAAAUUAUAUUUCAGAUUAUUUUAUGUAAUGUAUUUGAUCUCAUUUACAAAUAUAUGUUUACAUUUUUAUCUUUUUUAUUUUUGUUGUUGCCAUAAUGUUCCAGAUUUGUUUAACAAUUACUUUUCUUCUCACAGACCCGUCAAGAUCUUGCAGUGUGUGGAUUUCCCUGGUCAUAUUGACUGCAUCACAAACAGUGGCAUUUGCUUUCCUGCAUCCUGGAUUGGCAUAAUGCUACCAUGGCUUGCUAUGAUAAGUAAUCAUUUUUGAGUGGCUGCAAAAAAGUUGCUAAACACGCGUGAUUUCUAUGCAACAAUAUCAUGUAUUUUCAAUUUUAAGCUUUUGUUCCAAAGUAGAAAAUAAAAAAUAAAGAUGAGUUUUCCAA
RNAcentral lists this long non-coding RNA (2622 nucleotides) under Pelobates cultripes (western spadefoot toad). Lineage: Eukaryota; Metazoa; Chordata; Amphibia; Anura; Pelobatidae. The record is from RNAcentral.